RNAcentral lists this ribosomal RNA (117 nucleotides) under Carnobacteriaceae bacterium zg-C25. RNAcentral also lists the same sequence under 2 other names. The record is from RNAcentral. Lineage: Bacteria; Bacillati; Bacillota; Bacilli; Lactobacillales; Carnobacteriaceae.
UGUGGUAAUGAUGGAAAGAAGGACACACCUGUACCCAUGUCGAACACAGCAGUUAAGCUUCUUAUCGCCGAUGGUAGUUGGAGGGAAACUUCCCGCAAGAGUAGGACGUUGCCACGC